UCUCCCUCCAUGACAACCCUCAACCCCCUCUCCCCCACCUGUUACUUCUUGGGGCACGUUCAUGUAGAAUAAGGAGUCAUGUCUGCUCUAUUCAUGGUAUUUCUAUCUGGCUACUGAACCUGGCCCCGUUAAGGCGCUCUAACGGUGUGUGGAUUUAGCCUGAUCCCAGAUCUGUUUGUGCUUUUCUUCAUAACCAACUAGAACGGUCAAUGACCAUAGGAGUUGACAAGACAGCCCUAACAGAUCUGGGACCAGGCUAGAUAAUGACCAUAGGAGUUGACAAGACAGCCCUAACAGAUCUGGGACCAGGCUAGAUAAUGACCAUAGGAGUUGACAAGACAGCUCUAACAGAUCUGGGACCAGGCUAGAUAAUGACAAGACAGCCCUAACAGAUCUGGGACCAGGCUAGAUAAUGACAAGACAGCCCUAACAGAUCUGGGACCAGGCUAGAUAAUGACCAUAGGAGUUGACAAGACAGCCCUAACAGAUCUGGGACCAGGCUAGAUAAUGACAAGACAGCCCUAACAGAUCUGGGACCAGGCUAGAUAAUGACAAGACAGCCCUAACAGAUCUGGGACCAGGCUAGGUAAUGACCAUAGGAGUUGACAAGACAGCUCUAACAGAUCUGGGACCAGGCUAGAUAAUGACAAGACAGCCCUAACAGAUCUGGGACCAGGCUAGGUAAUGACCAUAGGAGUUGACAAAACAGCCCUAACAGAUCUGGGACCAGGCUAGAUAAUGACCAUAGGAGUUGACAAGACAGCUCUAACAGAUCUGGGACCAGGCUAGUGUUGCUUUGGAAACGCUGUGAUCAUAUUAACUGUGAAGUUAGCCCAUUGUUACGUCCUUAUGUCUGUUUUUACUUGAAGCAAGGAUACAUCCCAAAUGGCACCCUAUUCCCUAUGGGCCCUGUUUAAACAGUGCACUAUAAAGGGAAUGGCUCCCUAUGGGCCCUGUUUAAACAUAAAGGGAAUGGCUCCCUAUGGGCCCUGUUUAAACAGUGCACUAUAAAGGGAAUGGCUCCCUACGGGCCCUGUUUAAACAGUGCACUAUAAAGGGAAUGGCUCCCUACGGGCCCUGUUUAAACAGUGCACUAUAAAGGGAAUAGCUCCCUACGGGCCCUGUUUAAACAGUGCACUAUAAAUGGAAGCGGGUGCCAUUUGAGAUGGAACCCAAGACGACGUGUAAAGUUGAAGUAUGAUCUGAUUAGUGUGAACUAAGUAUAUAGCUUUUUGUGAUUGUAUUUCCACAUUAGAAGUGCAUUUUUGUUUUUCCCCAUCUCGAAGAAUGUGACGUUUUCAGUGGCAUUAAGUUUGUAAUAAAUGGAACAAAUAUACAAGGACCAUGAACUUUACAGAUCUUAUCAAGUGAAUUACUAUAUGCAGUAAAAAAAAAUAAAAAAAUAAAGUAGUUUUAAAAGAAAUGUUGGAACAUAGUUUGAAGCACCAUGUCCAAUGUAGAGAAAUGUUCUGUGUGUGUAGAACACGGGUGUAUUCAUUCCGCUGAUUCUGUUGCAAAACGUUUUCGACCUGCCUGAAUUUGUCCAAUAGAAACUGUUUGUUUUUCCCCGUCCAUUUCAAUUCAGGCGGUAAAAAUGAAAUAGCAAAUUUUCCUUCAUUUUUAAAACCAGGAUAAUUGAAAUGUCAAUCCCAACCCUGACAGAAUUACAGCCAUGUCUUUGUGUGUAGCGAUUUAAAAAGGAAAAAGAUUCACUCAUUUUUUAAUGUCAUUGUUCUUGUGCAUCUCUGAACGAUGUUCGUAUCGGAGUUAUUGAAACAGGAGAAAUACGGCUGGUAUGACAAGUUGAGUCAGAACAUCACUCAGAUGCAAAAAAGAACACUCAAAAUGGGUGAAUCUUUCCUUUAAGUUUGUUUUAUAUGGGACAAACAUACAAGGACAGUGAAUUAUCACUACCUACAUUAGUCCCUGAGUGUAACUAUUGUUCUUAUGCAGUGGUUUCAGAAUUGCCUUAAGUCUUUUGAAAUAAACAUGGACUUUGUUCACUCAGUGUGA
Oncorhynchus nerka (sockeye salmon) is the source of this 2013-nucleotide long non-coding RNA. RefSeq lists it as uncharacterized. The transcript is spliced from 2 exons. Lineage: Eukaryota; Metazoa; Chordata; Actinopteri; Salmoniformes; Salmonidae. The record is from RefSeq and is a predicted model, not a curated record.